This is a long non-coding RNA of Triplophysa rosa, 3179 nucleotides long. RefSeq lists it as uncharacterized. The transcript has 2 exons. Lineage: Eukaryota; Metazoa; Chordata; Actinopteri; Cypriniformes; Nemacheilidae. The record is from RefSeq and is a predicted model, not a curated record.
CAUUACAGAAGACUGCAAGAUUAAAACAAAAAAUAAUUAUUGUUCAUUAUUGCCUUAUAUAUAGUAAUUGUGUGCGUUUGAUUUUAUUGAUGUUUUACUCAUUAAUUAAGCAGUUAUGUAAACUGGACAUAAAUAGAAGCCUAUAUAAAGAAAGAGGGCUAAGAACAUUCCCCAUUACUGAAUGAUCACUGACUUCUGUUUAAUUUCGCAAAAAAACUCCCGUUUUAAUGAAUGAAUCUGAUUACACUGCACAAUGAACUUUACAUCAUAUCUGCUGUUGUUUAUGAGGUCCUUGAGCGUGCCUAAACUAAAGUCUUUUGCAGUGUUUCGCUACUACCUGCAGUGUGAAUUGGGGUGUUUGAGAUGGAGAGAGACAGAUUUAUUUCUGCUUCGGAAGAUGGAGCUUUCAGUCAUCAGUGACGGUCAAUAGGUUAAAACCUAGCCUAUAUAUUGCAAGCAAAUAAUAGCCGUUUUUUACCAACACAAAAUAAGGCAGCAAAAACUCCCGUUAUAAUAAAUGAAUCUGAUUUUACUUCACAAUUAAUUUUACAUAGGUGCAGUGCGCCUAAAAUUCCUUUGCACAGUAUUCCAGCUUCCAGCUGUAGCAUGUAGCAUGCUUCUCUGUUACAAACUAAAGCCACUCUGUGAGUGAAGAGUAACAUUGCUUUCAGCCAAUAGAAAACACAGCGAUUUUUGGUGUUAUUUUUUAUUCUCAUUGGGUGGGCAAGAAAGAUGUUUAGGUGGGCUCAGACCACCCCUGCCCAUGCCUAGAGCCGGCCCUGCCCACAACACUGUUGCAACUGCCUAAAACACAACAGCAACAUCCUAGCAACCACCCACAACAUGAUAGCUACUUCCUAAAACACCAUAGCAACAUCCUAGCAACCACCCACAACACCAUAGCAACAUCCUAGCAACCACCCACAACAUGAUAGCAACUCCCUAAAACACCAUAGCAACAUCCUAGCAACCACCCAAAACACCAUAGCAACAUCCUAGCAACCGCCCACAACAUGAUAGCAACUCCCUAAAACACAAUAGCAACAUCCUAGCAACCACCCAAAACACCAUAGCAACAUCCUAGCAACCAUCCAAAAAAAUCUUAGAAAAUAACAACCACCCAAAGAGUACUGUAGCAACUUCCUAAACACCAUAGCAACAUCCUAGCAACCACGCAAAACACCAUAGCAACAUCCUAGCAACCAUCCAAAAAAAUCUUAGAAAAUAACAACCACCCAAAGAGUACUGUAGCAACUUCCUAAACACCAUAGCAACAUCCUAGCAACCACUCAGAACACCACAGCAAAUGUAUGCAAGUAUUUGAGCGGUGAAAGCAGAGCAGGAGUUGGAGCCUGGUUCAAGUCCCCAUGACACCUCACACAGAUGGAAUUAACUCUAAUCCUCUCACAUAAUCUCACUCACGUGCAGCUCAGAGAGAGAGAGAGAGAGAGAGUGUGUGUGUUAAGUGCUUAAGAAUGUCCUGAGCAUCGUGUUUAUGUCCCCGAGCUUCACGAUAUAACAGCAAACAUGUGCACGACCAUCAUGGUUCUGAGCACCAUCGCUCUUCUGCUGAGACAGACGUUCUUCAACCGCGUCCAUCCACAGCCAGACGCAAGCGGUCCGAAUGAGCAGCCAUAUGAGAAUGAUGCAACAUCUUCCAAACAAUAACAGGAAGAAACGCUCUUCAAGCGUCCGAGACUCCCCGAGGACGUUCUGGAAAAUCGAACAGGCCUCGUGAAAUAUUUAAGGACGUUGUCAUGUUUGAUACAAGACGACAAACGUGCAGCACGACCCACACGAGAGAGAGAGAGAGAGAGAGAGAGAGAGAGAGAGAAUUCAGAGAGAGCUGGAGACUCUACAAACACACUGAAGAUGGUCUGCCAGGAUAUUCUUGAGAAAAGAAGACAUUUAUCUCCUCACAAGACUUGAAAAGGAUAAAUCCUUCAUCCAGACAGACCUGUGAUACUGACCCUGAGCAACUUAAACAUGAAUAGACUCUCUUUCUAUGAACGCGUUUGUAUAUCUGGAUUUGGGUAAAUUUGAUGAGAAAUGUUUGAGUUCAUAUUGAGAUCUUCACUUGUGAUUGCAGACUUGACAAACCUGAGCUCAGUUUGACACGUUGUUGACAUCUCUUCUCAAACCAACGGAGACAUUUGUAAGAUUUCUGAGACGCAGAUGAGACUUAAACAAAAGCAAAAUCAAAACCCCAAAUCUCAACCAAUUUAGCUCAAAAACUCAAAUCAACUCGAUCACAUUCUUCCAAAACAUCUGAUCUGUGCUUCUUGCGUUACAACUCUUUAUUCUGACUGCAUAUCAACAAAUGUGCGCUUAAAAAUUAAUUUAAAGAGUAAAAAUGAAACAACAUGAGAUGACAAAAACUCCACAGGAAUGCUUCACAUUAACAGUCUAUUUUUGUUAUACUUGCUCAAUUUGGCCUUUUUUUUAACAAACAGUGUGUUUCUCCGGGUUCUGAGUUACAUAAGCUCCGGACAGAUGUUUUAAACUCAAAUCACGUGUCUCGUGACAUCCCAGGUGCGCUCCACAGGAGGUGAGGCUCGCUGAACUUCUGACCGACAGAAGGGGAUGAAAACCACAGCUGCCUUUGAAACUCAAACCAUCUGCUCCACAUUCAAUCCCAGGUGUCCACGCGAGUCCACAAAACACCACAUUCCACACAUGUAAACGCCUCACACGAGACGCAGCUGAACUUUCAACCGCUCGUGGGUUCAUGACGUCAAACACACAAACACAGAUUCAGGACCCACUGGGGAAUGAUGGACGCAUGAAUGAAAACACUUUCCACAAAUCAAGAACAAAUAGUGUCCGAUUACUCUCCUCAUUUAAACAUGUUAAAAUAAAGUCCCAGUUUACUUAAAUUAUAAUUAUAUAAACAAGUUUUUUUAUUAAAGGGAAAUAUCAGUUUUCAAGCUUUAAGCUGUAUUUUGCACCGCUCAGUAGCAAAUAUUUAUAAAGUACCAAAACCCACCUGAACAUUUUUCAAGCUGAUAAAGUAAUCACUUUUUAAUAGGCUACUCUUAAUGGGUACUUUUAUUUUCUUGUUUUUACAGGUACAACUUUAAUUGUUUUGCUUAUAGUCAAUAUGUCUCAUGUACAGCUGCUUUGUAACAAUGAAAAUGGUAAAAAGCGCUAUAUAAAUAAAGUUGAGUUGAGUUACUGAA